RNAcentral lists this ribosomal RNA (293 nucleotides) under uncultured Planctomycetota bacterium. RNAcentral's name for it is "uncultured planctomycete partial 16S ribosomal RNA". Lineage: Bacteria; Pseudomonadati; Planctomycetota. The record is from RNAcentral.
GGACUACAAGGGUAUCUAAUCCCGUUCGCUACCCUAGCUUUCGCGUCUCAGCGUCAGUAGACGUCCAGGACCUCGCUUUCGCCACGGGCGUUCCUUCCGAUCUCAACGCAUUUCACCGCUCCACCGGAAGUUCCAGGUCCCUCUACGUCCCUCCAGACGGGUCGUUUCGGCGCCCAUUCCCCGGUUGAGCCGGGGGCUUUCAACGACCGACGUACCCAUCCGCCUACACGCGCUUUAAGCCCAGUGAUUCCGAAUAACGUUCGCACGGUUCGUCUUACCGCGGCUGCUGGCAC